RNAcentral lists this ribosomal RNA (301 nucleotides) under uncultured bacterium. Its description in RNAcentral is "partial 16S ribosomal RNA". It matches the Rfam family "Bacterial small subunit ribosomal RNA", at positions 509 to 809 of the family's 1533-position model. The record is from RNAcentral.
CAGUAGCCGCGGUAAUACGAAGGGGGCUAGCGUUGUUCGGAAUCACUGGGCGUAAAGCGCACGUAGGCGGACACUUAAGUCAGAGGUGAAAUCCCAAGGCUCAACCUUGGAACUGCCUUUGAUACUGGGUGUCUUGAGGUCGAGAGAGGUGAGUGGAACUGCGAGUGUAGAGGUGAAAUUCGUAGAUAUUCGCAAGAACACCAGUGGCGAAGGCGGCUCACUGGCUCGAUUCUGACGCUGAGGUGCGAAAGCGUGGGGAGCAAACAGGAUUAGAGACCCCCGUAGUCCCUGUCUCUUAUAA